RNAcentral lists this ribosomal RNA (289 nucleotides) under uncultured bacterium. RNAcentral describes it as "partial 16S ribosomal RNA". It matches the Rfam family "Bacterial small subunit ribosomal RNA", at positions 773 to 1060 of the family's 1533-position model. The record is from RNAcentral.
GUGGAUUAGAUACCCGGGUAGUCCUGGCCGUAAACGAUGGAUACUAGGUGUAGGAGGAUUCGACCCCUUCUGUGCCGUAGCUAACGCGAUAAGUAUCCCGCCUGGGGAGUACGACCGCAAGGUUGAAACUCAAAGGAAUUGACGGGGGCCCGCACAAGCGGUGGAACAUGUGGUUUAAUUCGAUGCAACGCGAAGAACCUUACCUGGGCUUGACAUCCUCGGAACCUCUGUGAAAGCAGGGGGUGCCUUCGGGAACCGAGAGACAGGUGGUGCACGGCCGUCGUCAGCU